Gavialis gangeticus (Gharial) is the source of this 767-nucleotide long non-coding RNA. RefSeq lists it as uncharacterized. The record is from RefSeq and is a predicted model, not a curated record. The transcript is spliced from 3 exons. NCBI's taxonomy places the organism in Eukaryota, Metazoa, Chordata, Crocodylia, Gavialidae.
ACCUGAGAUCCUGCUCCUGCCUUUGUUCGCGGUCAUUUGCAUCAUCACAGAGCCUCAGCACAGAGCUAAGAGACACGUUACUAGAUAAGAAAUGUCUGCCCAGAAGAGCAGUCCAUCUUUUUACUCUUCUGUGAAAUAUGAAACACCAUAACCAGGAGGAAAUAUGACUACAUCCUGCUUACCACCAAACAACUUUGAGACCUCCUCACUCCAUUUGAAACUCAGAAUAGAGAUGAUCUGCUCUAAAGAUGAUCCCAGGUGGUGCAGUGAAAGAGGCUGCUGUUGUCAUUCAUUUGUUGCAGAAGGUGGAAGGUGUAUAGUGGUUCAGGCAUUAAAGAUCUUCACACAAACUCCUGAGUGACAGAGGAAAGAGAAGCCAGUGGGUGGUGCUUGGGCAUCUCUAAUGAUUGCAAACAAAAACUGUAUUAACACUGCCAGUGCCCGCUGCAUGUAUUCUAUCCGUACUACACCAGAGGGAGUGUUGGCAAAGCAUCGCAGAAAGCUCGUUAUACCUUUUUGUUGGUGCAUGAAAAAAAUGGAACAGUUAACUGAUUUGCUACCUUGCUGUCAUCCAGCAGCCGGCUCUACCCUCGUCAAGUGAAUGUGUUGCAUAGAUGUGAUUUUCUUAAGGUAAAAAAAAAUCACCUGAAAUGCCUCUGAACACGUAGGAUUCAGACCUGUCAACUUCACUGUUUUUUUUUUUUUUAUAAUAGUCUUACUCCUUUUUGGCCCUUUUUUCAGGUCUGCUAAUAAACUUGAUCAAGCCA